RNAcentral lists this ribosomal RNA (422 nucleotides) under uncultured Alphaproteobacteria bacterium. Its description in RNAcentral is "bacterial SSU rRNA". It matches the Rfam family "Bacterial small subunit ribosomal RNA", at positions 537 to 957 of the family's 1533-position model. Lineage: Bacteria; Pseudomonadati; Pseudomonadota; Alphaproteobacteria. The record is from RNAcentral.
AGCGUUGUUCGGAAUUACUGGGCGUAAAGCGUACGUAGGCGGCUUUGUAAGUUAGAGGUGAAAGCCCGGGGCUCAACUCCGGAAUUGCCUUUAAGACUGCAUCGCUUGAAUCAUGGAGAGGUGAGUGGAAUUCCGAGUGUAGAGGUGAAAUUCGUAGAUAUUCGGAAGAACACCAGUGGCGAAGGCGACUCACUGGACAUGUAUUGACGCAGAGGCGCGAAAGCGUGGGGAGCGAACAGGAUUAGAUACCCUGGUAGUCCACGCCGUAAACGAUGGGCACUAGGUGUGGGAGGUGUCGACUCCUCCCGUGCCGUCGCUAACGCGCUAAGUGCCCCGCCUGGGGAGUACGGCCGCAAGGCUAAAACUCAAAGGAAUUGACGGGGGCCCGCACAAGCAGCGGAGCAUGUGGUUUAAUUCGACGC